UCGAGAAUCUUCGGCAAUGGACGAAAGUCUGACCGAGCGACGCCGCGUGCGGGAUGAAGGCCUUCGGGUUGUAAACCGCUGUCGUAGGGGAACAAAUGUACGGGGGUUCUCCCCUGUAUUUGAGUGAUCCUAGGAGGAAGGAGAGGCUAAGCUCGUGCCAGCAGCCGCGGUAAGACGAGCUCUCCAAACGUUAUUCGGUAUCACUGGGCUUAAAGAGUUCGUAGGCGGUCUGGUAGGUGAGGUGUGAAAUCCCCCGGCUCAACCGGGGAACUGCGCUUCAAACCGCCGGACUUGAGGGAGACAGAGGUGGGCGGAACAGAUGGUGGAGCGGUGAAAUGCGUUGAUAUCAUCUGGAACACCGGUGGCGAAAGCGGCCCACUGGGUCUUUUCUGACGCUGAGGAACGAAAGCUAGGGUAGCGAACG
This 424-nucleotide ribosomal RNA is filed under the name uncultured Planctomycetaceae bacterium. RNAcentral describes it as "partial 16S ribosomal RNA". It matches the Rfam family "Bacterial small subunit ribosomal RNA", at positions 355 to 774 of the family's 1533-position model. The record is from RNAcentral. Lineage: Bacteria; Pseudomonadati; Planctomycetota; Planctomycetia; Planctomycetales; Planctomycetaceae.